Molecule: ribosomal RNA, 497 nt
Filed under: uncultured bacterium
Lineage: Bacteria
Description: partial 16S ribosomal RNA
Rfam family: Bacterial small subunit ribosomal RNA
Source: RNAcentral
GACGAACGCUGGCGGCGUGCCUAAUACAUGCAAGUAGAACGCUGAAGCUUGGUGCUUGCACCGAGCGGAUGAGUUGCGAACGGGUGAGUAACGCGUAGGUAACCUGCCUGGUAGCGGGGGAUAACUAUUGGAAACGAUAGCUAAUACCGCAUAACAGUAGAUAUCGCAUGAUAGCUACUUGAAAGGUGCAAAUGCACCACUACCAGAUGGACCUGCGUUGUAUUAGCUAGUUGGUGAGGUAACGGCUCACCAAGGCAACGAUACAUAGCCGACCUGAGAAGGUGAUCGGCCAAACUGGGACUGAGACACGGCCCAGAAUCCUUCGGGGGGCAGCAGUAGGGAAUCUUCGGGAAUGGACGGAAGUCUGACCGAGCAACGCCGCGUGAGUGAAGGAGGUUUUCGGAUCGUAAAGCUCUGUUGUAAGAGAAGAACGAGUGUGAGAGUGGAAAGUUCACACUGUGACGGUAUCUUACCAGAAAGGGACGGCUAACUACGUG